AUACUUACCUGGCGUAGGGGAUACCGUGAUCAAGAAGGCGGUUCCCCCAGGGCGAGGUCCAUCCAUUGCACUGCGGAUGGGUUGACCCCUGCGAUUAUCCCUAAUGUGGAUAACUCGGACGCGUAAUUUUUGGUAGUGAGGGGGACUGCGUUCGCGCUGUCCCUCU
This 166-nucleotide small nuclear RNA is filed under the name Helicoverpa zea (corn earworm). Its description in RNAcentral is "U1 spliceosomal RNA". It matches the Rfam family "U1 spliceosomal RNA". From Rfam's summary of the family: U1 is a small nuclear RNA (snRNA) component of the spliceosome (involved in pre-mRNA splicing). Its 5' end forms complementary base pairs with the 5' splice junction, thus defining the 5' donor site of an intron. There are significant differences in sequence and secondary structure between metazoan and yeast U1 snRNAs, the latter being much longer (568 nucleotides as compared to 164 nucleotides in human). The record is from RNAcentral. Lineage: Eukaryota; Metazoa; Arthropoda; Insecta; Lepidoptera; Noctuidae.